Molecule: long non-coding RNA, 296 nt
Organism: Anolis carolinensis (green anole)
Lineage: Eukaryota; Metazoa; Chordata; Lepidosauria; Squamata; Anolidae
Exons: 2
Source: RefSeq, a predicted model, not a curated record
CAGGUUCAGGUCCGAGGUCAGGAGGAGAUGGGCCAAGAGCUUUGACCGGAGAAAGGCCCAGCAGACCAUCUUUGGCAGCUGACCGCUUGAUGGACUCCGCCGGCAUGCACGGCCUCCGACUCGGAUGCAUGAUGAGCUUCAGAGACCUCCAUUGGAUAGUUUGCAAACUGUCUUGCUUUCGGAGAAAGAAGGAAGGAUGAGAACAACAACAAAAACCAGAGCACAAAGGCAGAUUUUUCCUCGUGUAAUAGUCGUGGCCCCGCUUUUUUAAAGAGUAAAAAAUAGUGUGACUAUUA